AUAAUAUGGUUCGUCGGUCUAUCGAGCAACUAUACCGGCUCGAUGGAAGAUCUUCCUUUGUCAU
This 64-nucleotide microRNA precursor is filed under the name Bombyx mori (domestic silkworm). Its description in RNAcentral is "mir-2774 microRNA precursor family". It matches the Rfam family "mir-2774 microRNA precursor family". The record is from Rfam by way of RNAcentral. Lineage: Eukaryota; Metazoa; Arthropoda; Insecta; Lepidoptera; Bombycidae.